GACGAAGGAUGCAAGCGUUAUCCGGAUUCAUUGGGUUUAAAGGGAGCGUAGGCGGACUUGUAAGUCAGUGGUGAAAUCUGUGGGCUUAACCCACAAACUGCCAUUGAUACUGCAGGUCUAGAGUACAGUUGCCGUUGGCGGAAUAUGACAUGUAGUGGUGAAAUACUUAGAUAUGUCAUAGAACACCGAUUGCGAAGGCAGCUAACGAAGCUGUAACUGACGGCUGAGGCUCGAAAAGUGCGGGGAUCAAACAGG
This 255-nucleotide ribosomal RNA is filed under the name uncultured bacterium. Its description in RNAcentral is "partial 16S ribosomal RNA". It matches the Rfam family "Bacterial small subunit ribosomal RNA", at positions 524 to 776 of the family's 1533-position model. The record is from RNAcentral.